Leptidea sinapis is the source of this 2397-nucleotide long non-coding RNA. RefSeq lists it as uncharacterized. The transcript has 4 exons. The record is from RefSeq and is a predicted model, not a curated record. Lineage: Eukaryota; Metazoa; Arthropoda; Insecta; Lepidoptera; Pieridae.
CCGACGACGGUUAUUCCGUGAAUGUUGUUCACGUAACGCGCCCGCCGAGUGUUGCCAACUUUCCCGCUCAUAACAAUUGCCGCCAAGCUUUCGGCGAUAUUUUCUUUUGUGCAAGUGAUUUACAAAAAUUUUGGUGUACAAGUGAAGUGUCUAAAUCUAAUUGGAAUUCAUUUGGAUUCAAAAGCUGCCACCUUUGAUUGGAUUUGAAACCGGAUAUUCUCUGCACAUUUCAAGCGAGCGAGUGCCAACGCGAGCGCACCCGUGCUUCCGCUUCCGGUGGCGCGCCCGCGCAGCAUCCGCGACCAACCAACCGGCACGACCUACCUGCUGCUACCAUCACCGGCCCAUACCUAUCUGCCACAUUCAAAUGCUGCCCUACAAGUUUUGAAGAAAACGAUUGAAGAAGUAUCUAAACAAAAUGUCUGCCUAAUAAUCCACAAUGUUUAGCCAUAACAUAAUGUAUUACAUAUUAAUUAUAUUUCCCUUGUUGAUAUGCAUUAUAUAGUAAAUACUGUGCAUAUGUUACUGUAAAAGCAAUGUAAGUAUUGGAGAUCUCUGCUUAUCACUAGUGAACAUUAUGACCGAAAUAAUUUGAAAGAUGUACGGAUUGUACAAUUGAUUUCGAUUUCGGGCUUAUAAAAUUUGAGUUAGGUGUAUUAUGAUGAGUUUUACUAAAGGUGGUACUAAGCAUCUUCUAACCAAUGAAAAUCAAAUAAAUCCUUAAAAAUUGGUGUUAGGAGUAAAAUAAUGAGUUUUUUGUUUAACAUUUCAUAGGUAAUUUUAUGUUACAUGUGACGUCGUGUUAGGUUAAGUAUUAAGUUAGCGCAUAGAAUUAGAGAAGAUAAAAGUGCCAAGUGCCAAAUGUCAUAUCAGAAACCGUUUAAGAAUUAUAACAUAAUCAUAUAGGUAUUGCUAAUUAGAGAAAUAGAUUUGUUUGAUCUGUCGUUUUCAUUUAGUUCUAGAUAAGCCUUACCAAUUCAAGUUAUACCUACGUUUUAAAUAUUAUUUCACGUCAGAAUUUUGCUAUAGUGUAGAAGAAUUUUCAAGUAGGUACAACGUUUUGUGAUUUAUAAACAAACGUGAACAAAGCACAUAUCUAUUGGGUAAUAGAGAUAUAUUGUCGCUCCCAGAAAUAGAUGUUAUUAUUUAAUAAAUUUAUAUUUAACACAAUGACCAGUGUGAGUGGCAUUUGUUUAUCAAUAAUUUGUAAGGCAAUCCGUCAGAAUAUAUAACCUUUAAAUUACUAACAAUGCUAAUAUAUAUACUAAGAUAUACACCAAUAACAGAAAUGUAACUAAAAAUAAUUUAACUUUUGCCGCGUAUAUCGUAGGAAAACAUCAAAAUUAACAACAAUUACAACACAGUUUAUUUAGACAUACACUAUUGAGUGUUAGUAAUAGACUAUGUUUAGUAUACAAUUAUCAAAUUCAGUUUUAAUAUUAUUUUGACAUAUCCAGGAUAUCUUAAACUCGUAAAAAUGCUUUUAGAUGACGCCGUAUUCCGUACGUAACUAAUGGCAGAAAAAGGCAAAAGCGCUUAAACAAUACAGCCUUGGCAAAUCUAGGAAGAGUCAAUCGAUGACAUAAUACUGAACUUACUAUUCUUUACUUUUUUUUAAAUAGUGAUCAAAUAUUUAACAGAAAUAAGAUAACAAUUUCAAUAAACGAAAAUAAUUAUUAUCAUUAUAACAUAGUAAGAAUUCCUAUAUUAUAUGAAACUACACAAAUAAAAUUUGAAAAACAAAAUUUUAUGCGGGACUCGAACCCACGACCUCCGGCGUUCCGUGCCGGUGUUCUAACCAACUGAACUAACCGUUCGAGUGACGUAUCGUUUCAAAUUCGUGUAUGCUUUGUUCAACUCUCAGGUUGUGGCUUCAUCUAUAUAGGAUCUACUUUACAGUUGACAGCCUGCGCAACCCCAAUAUUUGCAUAUUAGGAAAUUGACUUGAGAUGUCGCUCUUGUAAAUCUAAACAAUUUAUGUUUUUAAAGUGAUGCAAAAACUUUGUUUUUCAAAUUUUAUUUGUGUAUUAAUCCUAGAAGUGAGGGCUAUCACUUUAAAAAUAUAACAAAUUAUUUAUAUGAAACUUUUAGGAAUUCUACCUAAAAUUAUGGAGAUAUCCUGGCGGUGAUGUGAAUCGAGUAACGCCGGAUGAGAAACUAGCGAAUUAUGAAGUAAAUUCUUUGAAUGAUUUGCUAUUUUCUUUGGAUAAUUUUUUGACUUUGUAUUUUUGAUUGGUAUCGGAUAGACUAUUUUUUUUGUUAUUCAUAAUAAUGGAACGCUAUUAGAUCAAUCAUUUUUAUGUUUAACUGAGAAAUCUUAUAGUUUACAUUAUUAACUACUGCUUUUACAGUAACAUAUAAUUAUAAUAUAUAGGUAUUAGACAUAUGAAACGUGUA